This is a long non-coding RNA of Sycon ciliatum, 1122 nucleotides long. RefSeq lists it as uncharacterized. The record is from RefSeq and is a predicted model, not a curated record. The transcript is spliced from 3 exons. Lineage: Eukaryota; Metazoa; Porifera; Calcarea; Leucosolenida; Sycettidae.
AGCACGAUUCGUUCAAACAUUAGAUCACAUCGCUAUUCGGUCGGCACAGCUCAGUCUUCCAUUUCUCACGACACAGUCCAGUUGUCCGUUUUCGUCUCCCUCCCUUUCUCAUUUGUUGUAAACGUCUUCUAGUGUUGUUGAAAAGUGCCUACCUACCUUUGUUAGUCGUGCAUUAUCCUUUCCAGUCAUUGUUACUCAUGCUCUCAACUACUAAUCAGUCUGUAGUGGCUACAACGCUCUCUCAGUGAAUAACAAGUUCAGCACAACGUUCUCUCAGUGAGUAACAAGUUCAGCACAACGCUCUCCUUCUCUAAACGACCUACUUACUCCAGUCAGCCUACACCGCCAACGUUUGAAGAAGAUUUCACCGAACGGACAACUCACUCAACAUGUCCAGUCAAGACGUCGAAGGAUUUUCUGUGGAGGUACGGCGACGGGAUGCCACAACGGAAAGUCUUCAGGCUGCUGUACCUCCUGAGCAGCCGCAACUGUCCUCCACAUCACGUAAAGUGACAUGGGAAUCAUCAUCAUAUGGGACACUCUGCUACUCAAUGGGAACAAUGCUCCUUUUUGUGAUCUGCUUGGAGGGUGAGCAUCUUCGUGAUGAAAUCCUCUACACUAUUGUACACUACAUAUUUAGUGUACAUAGUGUAGAGGUGAAUGAGCAAGACGAAACUCGUGUAAGUUGUUGUGUUCUUGAUUGUUACAAGACUCAGUACUGUUCAGGUUUGUCAUGGUUGUUCUGUCUGUCUGUCUGUCUGUCUGUCUGUCUCUCUGUCUCUCUGUCUGUCUCUCUGUCUGUCUCUCUGUCUGUCUCUCUGUCUGUCUCUCUGUCUGUCUCUCUGUCUGUCUCUCUGUCUGUCUGUCUGUCUGACGUUUCACUCCAGUGUUUCUGUAUCCCUACACUGUACCAUGUAUCCGUCUGUCCACAUGCCUCAAGAUUUCGCGUCAUUGGGAUGUACAACUGACUGUGUGUCUGUCACGUGUGUGUAUGUGUGUGUGUGCGUGUGUGCGUGCAUGUGUGUGUGUGUGUGCAUGUGCCUGUGUGCCUGUAUGUGUGGGUGUGUGUCUGUCUGUGUGUAUGUGGGUGUCAGCGCGCGCGCGCGCGCGUGUGUGUGUGCG